UUUUGGCUGUGAAUAUCCAUGCAUCCUGUAAUAGACUUAAAAACACUUUUGACCCAGAAAUUUCUUUAAUUUUAGAAAGUAAACGACAAUCUUUAAUAUAUAAGACAAUAUUGAAUCUUAAAGUUUUUGAAUUCUGAGACAUAAAACCUUACAUUUAUAUAUCGGAAAACUGAUGUGACAGUCAUAUAAAGCCAUAGUGUAUAACAUGACAGUCGUCUUGUGUAAAAAGGCACAUCAAUUGCCGGGAACAGUAAGAUUUAAUGCCUUAAACAUUAAACAUUGAAGUUAACUUUCUAAAAUUAGGAAAGUGACAUCUCAAAAAUUGUUUUUAGUUAAGCCACAUGCAUCAAUGUGCAUGUGUGUUUACAUAUAGAGUACUACCAGCUGCUUUGUGUUGCUACCAAGGGAGAGUAGGGGCCGGAGCAAAAUGUCAUCCACCACAGCCGGCACCACAUUUCGCCGCGCAUCCGGCGCCGCCAUAAACACCUGAAUCUGCUGCAUCACCAGAUUUGUCCCUUGAUGCACCUUCUGCACAAAUGAAAAUUAUAGCCGAAAUCAUGGAAAUAACUACAAUAACUGCCCAAAACAUCAGAAAAACAUCACCACCACCAUCACCACCAUAUUCUCUAGCCAUCAUAAUUUAAUUUUAUUCCUCUAUCAGUAGGCAUGCACUAAUAGAGCCUUCUUCUUAUAGGGUCUCCAAAGGUCAAAUUUACUUCCUUAUGUAGUGAAACAAAGGGGCCAAAUUUAUUUCAAC
Molecule: long non-coding RNA, 757 nt
Filed under: Panax ginseng (ginseng)
Lineage: Eukaryota; Viridiplantae; Streptophyta; Magnoliopsida; Apiales; Araliaceae
Description: long non-coding RNA (PGIN_LNC013553)
Source: RNAcentral